RNAcentral lists this ribosomal RNA (491 nucleotides) under uncultured bacterium. RNAcentral's name for it is "bacterial SSU rRNA". It matches the Rfam family "Bacterial small subunit ribosomal RNA", at positions 28 to 508 of the family's 1533-position model. The record is from RNAcentral.
GAUGAACGCUAGCGGCAGGCUUAAUACAUGCAAGUCGUGGGGCAGCAUGACUGUAGCAAUACAGUUGAUGGCGACCGGCAAACGGGUGCGGAACACGUACACAACCUUCCUUUAAGUGGGGAAUAGCCCAGAGAAAUUUGGAUUAAUACCCCGUAACAUAAUGAAAAGGCAUCUUUUUAUUAUUAUAGCAGUAAUGCGCUUGAUGAUGGGUGUGCGGCUGAUUAGAUAGUUGGCGGGGUAACGGCCCACCAAGUCUGCGAUCAGUAACUGGUGUGAGAGCACGACCAGUCACACGGGCACUGAGACACGGGCCCGACUCCUACGGGAGGCAGCAGUAAGGAAUAUUGGUCAAUGGACGCAAGUCUGAACCAGCCACGCCGCGUGGAGGAUGAAGGUCCUCUGGAUUGUAAACUUCUUUUAUAUGGGACGAAAAAGGGUCUUUCUAGAUCAACUGACGGUACCAUAUGAAUAAGCACCGGCUAACUCCGUGC